UACGGAGGGUGCAAGCAUUGAUCGGAAUUACUGGGCGUAAAGGGCGCGUAGGCGGUCUGAAAAGUCGGAUGUGAAAUUCCGGGGCUCAACCCCGGAGCUGCAUUUGAAACUUUCGGACUUGAGGUUGGUAAGGGAAAACGGAAUUCCACGUGUAGCGGUGAAAUGCGUAGAUAUGUGGAAGAACACCGGUGGUGAAGACGGUUUUCUGUGCUAAACCUGACGCUGAGGCGCGAAAGCUAGGGGAGCAAACAGG
This 253-nucleotide ribosomal RNA is filed under the name uncultured bacterium. RNAcentral describes it as "partial 16S ribosomal RNA". It matches the Rfam family "Bacterial small subunit ribosomal RNA", at positions 524 to 776 of the family's 1533-position model. The record is from RNAcentral.